RNAcentral lists this long non-coding RNA (1438 nucleotides) under Brassica napus (rape). RNAcentral's name for it is "long non-coding RNA (BNAP_LNC025742)". The record is from RNAcentral. Lineage: Eukaryota; Viridiplantae; Streptophyta; Magnoliopsida; Brassicales; Brassicaceae.
AUUGUCUCCUGUAUCUGUUGGUGUGGUUGUGUUUAUUUCUAUUUUAUUUGAUGGGUAAUAUGUAAACAAAAAUUAUUGUUAGUUGUAUUUAUCAAAGUUUGUAACCUACUCUGUUUUUUUGUUUAGGUAAUUUCACUGAUCUUGGUUGUCGUCUUCGUAAGCAUCUGCGAAAGUAAGUUUGUAAAUUGUUAAAUAGCUGGCCUUGUAGUUUGUAUUUGUUUAGCUGGCUCAAUGUAUGUGUCGUUGAGUUUUAGUUGAGUCGAUUGGUUUGUUAUAUUUGUUUUGAAGUUUAUUUGUAAGAUUAGACAAAAAGAGAGUUGAUCAUUAAUGAUUCUGUCUUUUUUUGGGAUUCUAGUUUUUGGUGUUUUGAUUGUUUGGGUUAUUGUGGUUUCUUUUAAGCUGUAAAAUAAAGAUUUGUGUAAAAUUAGAUUGAUAAGUAAGAGAGAUAAAUAGACGACCACAAAUCUUGGGUAUGAAAUAUUUUUGAUUAUUGAUGUUAGCACAAUAUAGACAGUAAUAUAAAGGGAAUUAUGUGUUGAUUGUUUCUUACGUAUCAAUGAGGAGACAGAUAACGACUCGAGUUAUUUCUUUGGUGAGGGCAGAGCCCUGGACAGAACGGAUUUGCCCAACCACAUCUGAGAGUUUAAAUAUCAGUUAUGAUAUCGAAACUUAAUAUAAACCCAGUUGCAAUAUGAUAAUAUACAUGAGAGUUCUAGGUUUGUGUUCGCAAUCACUUGGAGAUUGUCGAACAAUCUAAUCUCGACAAGAGAUUGAUCUCAGGAGCACCCAUGAUGACUUCAUCAAUAAUGGUUAGUGAGAUGAAACCAAUGAGGAAUGGAUGAUCAGUUAUCUUGUACAUGCUUAGCACCUAGCAACCUCAAAACGAUCGACUUUCACAAUGAAACCUGCUUUCAAAGAUGACAUGUAAUGAUUAGCACGUCCGACGGGAGUAAACCCAUGAAUCAUGAAAUUUGCAAAUAAUAUUAUUCAACAAAGAAUCAGGAAAUCAAUUAAAACAAUUAUGUUAAAUAAGUGUGAUAGAUCAGAGAUUAACUUACAUUUUCAUCAAGGAAGAGAACCGUGAUUCCCACAAAGUCUCUAUCUUUCUUGAAGUUCAGGGAAUCCCAGAAUUGGAGGAAGCCAGAGGCUAUGCUAUGACAACUACGACCAAGACGGAGAGACUCGAAGGUUGAGUGACGGACGCCGAGACGCCGGUUUAACGAACUGGAGAGGCAAAGAGAAACAUUUUCUAGAAGAUGGUUAAAGCUAAGAGGAAUCAAUGAGUUUUGUGGAGAUGCAGAUUGGGUUCAUCAAAGAAGAAAAUCAUAUAUAUAUGGUUUACAGAGUGGCUACAAAUCAUGAACAAAUAUGAUCACGCGAUUUAAGAUGUGGACAUGAAGAGUUCACCGGUGAAAAAAUAGAUUACGAACAGACACAC